RNAcentral lists this transfer RNA (68 nucleotides) under Ovis aries (sheep). Lineage: Eukaryota; Metazoa; Chordata; Mammalia; Artiodactyla; Bovidae. The record is from Rfam by way of RNAcentral.
CCUGGCAGUCCAGUGGUUAAGACUCUGUACUUCCAGUGCAGGGGGCAGGGUUCAAUCCCUGGUCAGGA